RNAcentral lists this ribosomal RNA (307 nucleotides) under uncultured Clostridium sp. RNAcentral's name for it is "bacterial SSU rRNA". It matches the Rfam family "Bacterial small subunit ribosomal RNA", at positions 28 to 334 of the family's 1533-position model. The record is from RNAcentral. Lineage: Bacteria; Bacillati; Bacillota; Clostridia; Eubacteriales; Clostridiaceae.
GACGAACGCUGGCGGCAUGCCUAACACAUGCAAGUCGAGCGAGUGGAGUUCUUCGGAACAAAGCUAGCGGCGGACGGGUGAGUAACACGUGGGCAACCUGCCUCAUAGAGGGGAAUAGCCUUCCGAAAGGGAGAUUAAUACCGCAUAAGAUUGUAGCUUCGCAUGAAGUAGCAAUUAAAGGAGCAAUCCGCUAUGAGAUGGGCCCGCGGCGCAUUAGCUAGUUGGUGAGGUAACGGCUCACCAAGGCGACGAUGCGUAGCCGACCUGAGAGGGUGAUCGGCCACAUUGGGACUGAGACACGGCCCAG